AGUGAACGCUGGCGGUAGGCCUAACACAUGCAAGUCGAACGGCAGCACAGUAAGAGCUUGCUCUUACGGGUGGCGAGUGGCGGACGGGUGAGGAAUACAUCGGAAUCUACUUUUUCGUGGGGGAUAACGUAGGGAAACUUACGCUAAUACCGCAUACGACCUACGGGUGAAAGCAGGGGAUCUUCGGACCUUGCGCGAUUGAAUGAGCCGAUGUCGGAUUAGCUAGUUGGCGGGGUAAAGGCCCACCAAGGCGACGAUCCGUAGCUGGUCUGAGAGGCUGAUCGGCCACACUGGAACUGAGACACGGUCCAGACUCCUACGGGAGGCAGCAGUGGGGAAUAUUGGACAAUAGGCGCAAGCCUGAUACAGCCAUACCGCGUCGGUGAAGAAGGCCUUCGGGUUGUAAAGCCCUUUUGUUGGGAAAGAAAAGCAGCAGGUUAAUACCCCGCUGUUCUGACGGUACCCAAAGAAUAAGCACCGGCUAACUUCGUG
Molecule: ribosomal RNA, 492 nt
Filed under: uncultured bacterium
Lineage: Bacteria
Description: partial 16S ribosomal RNA
Rfam family: Bacterial small subunit ribosomal RNA
Source: RNAcentral